Molecule: ribosomal RNA, 392 nt
Filed under: uncultured bacterium
Lineage: Bacteria
Description: bacterial SSU rRNA
Rfam family: Bacterial small subunit ribosomal RNA
Source: RNAcentral
GACGAACGCUGGCGGCGUGCUUAACACAUGCAAGUCGAGCGGUAAGGCCCUUUCGGGGGUACGACGAGCGGCGAACGGGUGAGUAACACGUGGGUGACCUGCCCUCAGCUCUGGGAUAAGCCUGGGAAACCGGGUCUAAUACCGGAUAUGACUCCAUGACGCAUGUUGUGGGGUGGAAAGCCUUGUGCGGCUGAGGAUGGGCCCGCGGCCUAUCAGCUUGUUGGUGGGGUGAUGGCCUACCAAGGCGACGACGGGUAGCCGGCCUGAGAGGGCGACCGGCCACACUGGGGACUGAGACACGGCCCAGACUCCUACGGGAGGCAGCAGUGGGGAAUCUUGCGCAAUGGGCGAAAGCCUGACGCAGCGACGCCGCGUGUGGGAUGACGGCCUGG